UGCUAGAGCUACCAGGAGCCCAUAAUCUGACAAAUAACUAAAUCAACUUACGACUAAUCACUCUGAGCAGCUUGCUAUAGUUUAGGUUGAUCCUGCCACGUGUAACUCGAUGAGCGAGUGCCGACAAUUGGGACAGGAAGAGUGAGAGACAAGCCACGUGUCGAUACAGGACAUGUGGAAGCUGUGAUUACACGGCGGAAGAACUCGGACCUUCUCACCGUCCGCGAACUCCCCCAGACAGAUGGCGCACUCCGUCGUAGCUAUCUCCACCCCGCUCGACCCGUACGCGGCCACGGGAAACCUCUUCAGUUCUCGCUUCUUCAAUCCGGGCCUGUCUGCCGCCACCGUCGAUGCCGCUGAGGAUAGCCCGAAGCCGCAUCGCAUCGCACACCGGAGUAUCGAAUUGAGCCCAAGCGCAAGUAUCAAAGCGCAGAGCAGAGCAGAGAGUAUGAUCACCAUGUUUGCGUCGAAGUUCAUGUCCCUCAGGUACCCAUCUCCUCCUCCACCGCCAACGUGGGAUUCAAGUAGCAGCCGGUGCAUUCUCGGGUACGAUCGACUAGGAGGCUCCCUCUCAGCUUCGUUAGGUUUUGUGUGUAGAGAGAUACGUGUUAAUGAGGAUACUAGUCAAGUCUAACUGCGUAGUCUCUCUCUCGGUUUGUGGUUAUCUGUUUAGACAAUACCACUACCAUAUAGCAGAAAUUAGGAUGCUAGACAAUAUUUCUGCACCUACUUAAGUAAGAGCCGUACAUUUACUACGGCACUUGUCUCCAGUGUGGCCGGCUUUGUUCGACCUGUAUCGAUUACCACCCGGUCCACCCCUGAGCCCUCUUUGCAGGUUAGUUUCUGGGACCAAACUCUCGGACCAAAUGAUUAUGUUGGACCAUUAUUUAGUGCUGUUUUACCUCUAAAAACCAAACAUAGUGGUGUUUUUAUUAUGGGCCUGUUAAUUUUCCAUGUAAUUAUACCCGAAUAAUUCGGUCUCAUAUUUUCUUUCGGGCUUUACGUACUUAAAAAAAAAUCACUCCCCAUGAACCAUAUUGUAUGCAAAGACUGAUUACUUACUUAAAAAAAAAGUCUACAACUGUAAUAGACUAUCACAACUGCUAGAGCUACCAGGAGCCCAUAAUCUGACAAAUAACUAAAUCAACUUACGACUAAUCACUCUGAGCAGCUUGCUAUAGUUUAGGUUGAUCCUGCCACGUGUAACUCGAUGAGCGAGUGCCGACAAUUGGGACAGGAAGAGUGAGAGACAAGCCACGUGUCGAUACAGGACAUGUGGAAGCUGUGAUUACACGGCGGAAGAACUCG
Molecule: long non-coding RNA, 1308 nt
Filed under: Brassica napus (rape)
Lineage: Eukaryota; Viridiplantae; Streptophyta; Magnoliopsida; Brassicales; Brassicaceae
Description: long non-coding RNA (BNAP_LNC001023)
Source: RNAcentral